Molecule: ribosomal RNA, 442 nt
Filed under: uncultured bacterium
Lineage: Bacteria
Description: partial 16S ribosomal RNA
Rfam family: Bacterial small subunit ribosomal RNA
Source: RNAcentral
CCUACGGGAGGCAGCAGUGGGGAAUAUUGGGCAAUGGACGCAAGUCUGACCCAGCAACGCCGCGUGAAGGAAGAAGGCUUUCGGGUUGUAAACUUCUUUUAAGGGGGAAGAGCAGAAGACGGUACCCCUUGAAUAAGCCACGGCUAACUACGUGCCAGCAGCCGCGGUAAUACGUAGGUGGCAAGCGUUGUCCGGAUUUACUGGGUGUAAAGGGCGUGCAGCCGGAGAGACAAGUCAGAUGUGAAAUCCACGGGCUCAACCCGUGAACUGCAUUUGAAACUGUUUCCCUGGAGUGUCGGAGAGGUAAUCGGAAUGCCUUGUGUAGCGGUGAAAUGCGUAGAUAUAAGGAAGAACACCAGUGGCGAAGGCGGAUGACUGGACGAUAACUGACGGUGAGGCGCGAAAGCGUGGGGAGCAAACAGGAUUAGAUACCCUUGUAGUC